RNAcentral lists this long non-coding RNA (1256 nucleotides) under Astyanax mexicanus (Mexican tetra). RNAcentral describes it as "lncRNA (ENSAMXG00005022217.1)". The record is from RNAcentral. Lineage: Eukaryota; Metazoa; Chordata; Actinopteri; Characiformes; Acestrorhamphidae.
CACAGAUUCUACAAUGUAGAAAAAAAGAAAAACAUUGAAUGAGAAGGUCCAAACUUUUUACUGGUACCAAAAAGUAAUGCAAAAGUGAUGUAACAAAGCAAUCAUUACAUCAUUAUUGUAUGUCGCUUUGGACAAAAGCAUCUGCCAAAUGUAAUGUAAUGUAAUUUUACAUUGAUAAAGUUUUUACUUUUGAAAAACUGAUCUAACUAAAUUGCAAUAAAAACAUUCUUCUUUUUAAUGAUUUAUUUUUGUAAUUGAUAGAAGUGCAGGUGUCCCAUAGUUUGUGAUAGAUCCAUGUUUAGUACAGCUGGUGUUGUUCGGCCCACAUUGUUACAUAACUUUGUUAUUUUUAUUUUCCUCGAUUUCAGACCAUCAACACAAAAAUAUGAACAUAGUUCACAUUAGAUUCCUAUUCAGUACUGCAAGUUGCUUUUUUGGUCUAAAUUGUUACAUAACUGUGUUUUUAAAUUUCUACUCGUCAAUGCAAAAAGUACCCCUGUUUGUAUCCAGAAAAUGCCUGUAAUAUCUUGGGAAAAGCUGCAAAUCCCAGCAGCUCAUGCUAUGUCACCAUAAACACCCGAAUUGGAACUGUCACUAAUUACCGUAUUUUUCGGACUAUAAGGCGCACCGUAUUAUAAGGCGCGUUAAGUGACACUAGAAAGGGUGCCUAUAUCAAAGUGAACAGGGGUGGCGCCAUGUUUCCCUUCCCCCCGGGGGGGGGGGUGUCUUGCCGGUGGAGCGUCUCAGUAUACAAAUCUAGCUCUUUCAAAGUCAAACGAGUGCUGGAUAUUAAUCUACACAGAUUCCUCUCCUGAAAACUGUUUAUUUGGCCCCCCCCUGCUCUCUCCCAUGUGUACAGAUGCUUCAGAGAUGACGCAGCAGCAUUGUAGUCACAGCUUGCUUGGCUGCCGAAGAGGAGAAUUUCUUGAGGCGAUGUGCAGUGAAGUUGUCCCUGGUCCCCAAACCCCUACUCCAAUAAGCAGACACUUGGGCAGAAGGCUGGCUGUGGAGGAGAAGAACUGAAAAGAAUUGAAGGAACAUUUACAACCACGUACCUAUUAUCAGAAUUUUAAUGAAUUUCCAUAAGCUGUGACCUUAUCAAGUCAAAUCAACAGUUAAAUACAAAGAUACAUGCAUAUUCUGUAUAUCUUAAUGAUGGUUUUAUAUGACAAGGCCUUAUUUUGGGAAAGUUUAGUUGUUUUAACCGCUAUUUUCCCUUUGGAAACAUUUUUGUGCAUUAUUGAGUCAAAACCUAC